UACGAAGGGUGCAAACGUUGCUCGGAAUCAUUGGGCGUAAAGCGCACGUAGGCGGCCUGUUAAGUCGGAUGUGAAAUCCCUCGGCUCAACCGAGGACGUGCAUUCGAAACUGGCAAGCUCGAGUAUGGAAGAGGGUCGCGGAAUUCCCGGUGUAGAGGUGAAAUUCGUAGAUAUCGGGAGGAACACCGGCGGCGAAGGCGGCCCCCUGGCCCGCAACUGACGCUCAUGGUCGAAAGCGUGGGGAGCAAACAGG
RNAcentral lists this ribosomal RNA (253 nucleotides) under uncultured bacterium. RNAcentral describes it as "partial 16S ribosomal RNA". It matches the Rfam family "Bacterial small subunit ribosomal RNA", at positions 524 to 776 of the family's 1533-position model. The record is from RNAcentral.